RNAcentral lists this ribosomal RNA (189 nucleotides) under Vibrio cholerae. RNAcentral's name for it is "partial 16S ribosomal RNA". It matches the Rfam family "Bacterial small subunit ribosomal RNA", at positions 1 to 181 of the family's 1533-position model. The record is from RNAcentral. Lineage: Bacteria; Pseudomonadati; Pseudomonadota; Gammaproteobacteria; Vibrionales; Vibrionaceae.
UUAAUUGAAGAGUUUGAUCAUGGCUCAGAUUGAACGCUGGCGGCAGGCCUAACACAUGCAAGUCGAGCGGCAGCACAGAGGAACUUGUUCCUUGGGUGGCGAGCGGCGGACGGGUGAGUAAUGCCUGGGAAAUUGCCCGGUAGAGGGGGGAUAACCAUUGGAAACGAUGGCUAAUACCGCAUAACCUCG